Molecule: transfer RNA, 85 nt
Filed under: Actinomyces israelii
Lineage: Bacteria; Bacillati; Actinomycetota; Actinomycetes; Actinomycetales; Actinomycetaceae
Also listed under: 1 other name
Description: tRNA-Leu
Rfam family: tRNA
About the family: Transfer RNA (tRNA) molecules are approximately 80 nucleotides in length. Their secondary structure includes four short double-helical elements and three loops (D, anti-codon, and T loops). Further hydrogen bonds mediate the characteristic L-shaped molecular structure. tRNAs have two regions of fundamental functional importance: the anti-codon, which is responsible for specific mRNA codon recognition, and the 3' end, to which the tRNAs corresponding amino acid is attached (by aminoacyl-tRNA synthetases). tRNAs cope with the degeneracy of the genetic code in two manners: having more than one tRNA (with a specific anti-codon) for a particular amino acid; and 'wobble' base-pairing, i.e. permitting non-standard base-pairing at the 3rd anti-codon position.
Source: RNAcentral
GCGCGAGUGGCGGAACUGGUAGACGCGCCAGAUUUAGGUUCUGGUGCCUUCGGGCGUGAGGGUUCGAGUCCCUUCUUGCGCACCA